CAGAAAUUGUUGCCUCACAGCCUACGUGAAACUGAUGAGUCAUUUCUUUCCCCACCCUUUCACCUGUCUUUCCAUACGUUUAAGUUUGAAACUUAUGAAGACAAUGCUGAACCUGAUCAUUUUAUAUUUAUUCUACUUAUUACAUCAAUGGUAGUUAAAAUUCUAUAAUUAAUGUGAAGCAAAUUUUAUGCGCGAUACCAUUUUUGUUUCCAACCGUAUUUUUUAAAAGUCGCAAAUAAAACCAAGUUACAUAUAGAAAACGAAGUUCUCGACCUUCCUAGGUAGAGUAUGUCCCCAGAAGUCUACAGAAGACUUAUGCGGGGCAAGGGAGAGGAUGGAUUAGUGACCAUCAUCAUACGACUGCAACCGUCUGAAGAUGUUCAAUAGAAACACCCGCAUUUGCACAAGGGACAAGGAAAACUGUAGAAAACCUUUUCUAGGUGUAGCUGAACCGAGUUCGAACCAACUACUUGAAGGGCUGCAGACUGUGGAGUGGUAACUAUUAUAACUCCAGACAAUGGAAGAUUCUGGAUUAAUGAUAAAUGAGUAUCGCCUGUCCCAGGAGGAGUAUCUACUAUAAGGUAGUCCAGUGGCAUCCAGGCUGUCUGACGGAUUAAUUUGUCAAGAGCACUCAUCACCAUCAGACCUCGCCAUAUAACGGGAGAUUU
This 668-nucleotide long non-coding RNA is filed under the name Neodiprion pinetum (white pine sawfly). RNAcentral describes it as "uncharacterized LOC124215046". Lineage: Eukaryota; Metazoa; Arthropoda; Insecta; Hymenoptera; Diprionidae. The record is from RNAcentral.